Benincasa hispida (wax gourd) is the source of this 3993-nucleotide long non-coding RNA. RefSeq lists it as uncharacterized. The record is from RefSeq and is a predicted model, not a curated record. Lineage: Eukaryota; Viridiplantae; Streptophyta; Magnoliopsida; Cucurbitales; Cucurbitaceae.
UGUUUUGAGUGAUAUUUUUAAAAUAAGUCUAAGGAGUAUUAAUUAAUACACUAAUGAGAAAUCAUUAUUAUUUUACCGUUUAGAAUUACACAAUACAAGUAUAAAAAUGUACAAACUGAAAAUACUUCCAAGUAAAACAUGCUACAGAAGAAGUAAAAUAUGCUAAAAUCUUUUUAAGUCAUUUCUAUUGAUGUUUUUAUUAUAUCCUUUUUAUAUUAUAACUAACAUUUUAAAAUUAUAUGCAUGAAAUAAUUCAAACAAUAUAUAUUGAAACUUUGAAAAUAGGGAAGAUAUAGCAAUAAAAUGAAAAAGGUCUUACAAUAAAAUUUGAAAUUUAACUAGGCACAUGAAAGUUCAACCAAAUUUCUAGAUUUUUGGGUGUGAGAUGACAAGGGCUUUCCUAGAAAUAAGUUUAGAUACUUUUGUAUUUUUAUAUACAUUUUUUGUCCACUAUAUAACUUCUUCGAAAAUUUUAAUCAUCAGAUAAUUGAGUAAAACUUAAUUGUCCAAAUUGUUGUAUAAGAUUCUAGUAGUGUUUUAUUUUAAUGUACAUAUAUUACAUUUUAAGUUGAUAUUUAUUAUAUUAGUUACACAGAGUUGUUGUUACAUUUUAAAUUAUGCUUAAAUUGUAGACUACUAUAAUAAAUUUUAGACAGUCCCAAAAAUUGUAGAUUAUAAUAUCAAAUCUAAUGCAAAUCCAAAUAUGUCAAGUUUUAUAAUACUUAUGUCGACUUCUGUCAUUAUUACAUAGAGACGUUUAUAAUGUGUCAACUACAAUAUCUAGUUGCACACUUUAGUUUUUAUAGAUAAGAAAGGUUAUAUGAGGGGGCUCUUAUACCAUAACCUCUGCAUCCUAACUCCUCAAACAAACCAUUCACUUCAACGUCGAUUACUGGUAUUGACUACCUCCUGUUAUGAAAAUAUAGGCAGAUGAGAAAACACAAAUUCUAUGUCAUUUUCAUUGGGCGUAUCACAAAGAUCUAUCUGUCCUGGCAUGAAUGUCAUGGAUAAGUUAGUGGGUACAAGUGGGUAUUAUACAAAUCCUAUGAAACAUUCUAUGAAGCAGAGAACGCGUAUAGGUUUUACAGUACAACGCACAUUGAACAAGUUAGUAACCAGGGCGUAGGACAAUGUAGUACAAUUAUUGUAACUGUAAUAGGUUUCAUUUUUUGGGAUGAACGUAAUGUUUACUUGGCUCGGGAUAGUCAGAUAUGAGUGAUGUCCUAGGUUGACACGACUUGUCAUUUUGUAACUAAACCCAAGUUCACUGAUUCUAAGCAUAAUUCAUUCUUUCAUGAUCUACAUACUUCCACUAUUACCUAGUAAGAUGGAGACUGUUCAAGAGCUGUUUAAAAUCAUAACAAUUAUUAUUGAGUCUCAAAGACAAUUAUUCUUCACUUUGGCAACGCUGCUUAACAACAAUAGAAGGAUAGAAUAACAACCAGCAAACGUUAGACACUGCAUUCAACAAUUAACGUUCUUCCACCUCAUUUAUGAGAGUGACUUGGCUGUCGUGAGAGUACUCGGAUGGAUAGAAAGACGUUUAUGAUUUUAUGCAACAUGAUUAGAAUGAUGGAAUGUUUGGAGUCAGGUAGAUGUGUUGGUAUUGAAGAGAUAGUGACAAAUUUCCUACACAUUCUUGCUCAUGAUGUGAAGAAUAAAGUAGUACGCAUACAUUUUUUGAGAUCUGGCGAGACGGUUUCGAGAUAUUUCAUUGCAGUUCUUAGAGCAAUAAUACAGCUACACACUGUGUUGUUGAAAACCCCCGAACCAGGUAUAAGUGAAUGUACAGAUGGACGAUGGAAAUGGUUUAAGAUAGAAAAAAGUUCCAGUACUAUCCCAUUAAUGCAUUUGAAAUAAAUUAUGCUGACAUCUUCUCAAAUUAUCAUGAUUAAAUAAUUUCAACAGAAUUUCCUGGGGGCAUUGGACGACACGUGCGUGAAAAUGAAUGCCAGUGUCGUAGAUCGACCAUGAUAUAGAACGAGGAAGGGGGAAAUUGUCACAAAUGUUCUUGUGGUAUGUGACCAAAACGGAGAAUUCAUCUUCGUUAUGCCAGGCUGGGAGGGCUUGGCCGCCUACUCUAGGGUCCUGAGGGAUGCAGUUGCGCGACCGCAUAAAUUGAGGGUUCCAAUGGGGUACUACUACCUGUGCGACACUGGCUACCCUAAUGUUGAAGGAUUUUUGGCUCCGUAUAGAGGGGAACGCUACCAUCUCUCAGACUAAUGUGGAGUGGGCAACACACCGACAACACCGAAAGAAUUUUUCAACAUGAAGCAUUCGUCAGCAAGAAAUAUUAUCGAGCGAGCAUUCAGACUUUUGAAGGUCGAUGGACAAUUCUGAGGGGAAAAUCCUUCUACCUAGUAUAGGUUCAAUGUCGAACGAUAACUGCGUGUUUCCUGAUUCAAAACUUAAUCACAAGGGAGAUGGGGAUCAAUGCUGCACUUGAUGAUUCGCUGGAUAAGAAUUUUGCUUCUGCUAUUACGGAAGGAGAGAAUAUUGAAUUUAUUGAGACCUCGAAUGAAUGGACCAAAUUUAGAGAUCAUUUGGCUGCCAAAAUAUUUUCUCAAUGGCAAAUAUCACGAUUAACUUUUCUGAAGAAAGACAUAUUUGAACAUCUUAUCUAUUUGUUGAACAAUAUUUCAUGCUUCAUUUAUGUCGAGAACAUUUUUAGUUCGACUAUUUCAAUCCAUGGUUUUAGUUUUUUAUUUUAUAACAUGUCACACGAAGCUGUUUAAUUUUCAGUAAUGUCUUUACAAUGUAUGCAUGGAUGAAUUAGAAUGGCAGGCAAUGGAAAAAGAUCGAAACACACGGGGACAAAAGCAGAGGACGCUGGGUUGGUCAAUGUUCUAACCUCUUUGGUGGAGUCCGGUUGGAAGUUUAACAAUGGGACCUUCCUGUCGGGAUAUCUACAACACUUGGAGCAAAUAAUGGACGAGAAUUUCUCGGAUGUGGCCUAAACCAGGAUACUACCAAAUACAAGAUUAGAAGUCUGAAGAAAAUAUUCGACAGUAACGGAGAUGUUAUAUCAAUCAGGGUUCAGAUGGAACGAGGAGUUUAAGUGCGCUCAGGUGGACAGGGAGAUCUUCGACGUUUGGGUUCCAAUAUGUUUUUUAAAAUAUUAAAAAAUUUACACCAAACCUACUUUUAUAUAAUUUCUAAUAUUGCUUUCAUAUAUGAAUUUAGUCAUCAUAACACAAAGGGAUUGAACAAGCCAUCCCUUCAUACGAUGAACUAUCAAGUGUGUUUGGGAAGGAUAAGGCAACCGGGCACUAUUGCGAGCCACCAGUGGUGAUGGUGUCAAAUUUGUUCCUGGAAAUGGAAGAUGAGAUUUGGCUAGGGUCACAAGAAUACCCUACACUUGAUAAUGAACAAAUCCAAUUGUCUGAGGAUGCGAUGGAAGAAGAUCAAGGAGAUAUGUCCACGGGGAGAGCAAGUGUACCAAAUAUUUUCAAUGGCAGAGUGAGCGUAUCAACAAAUCCAUCUAGAGGAAGUAAGAGGAAAUGAAUCACCUUCCAGAAUGAAAUGAUUGACAUCAUGCGAUCAACCACUGAUAUACAGUCAACACAUAUGUGCAGACUCGUUGUGUGACAAGUCGGGAAAUAUGAAAUGGAAUUUGGACGUCGAAAGGAGGUAGUUUAGGCCAUAUUUGGUAUUGAAUGGCUCACUGAGGAUGAUAGAUGUGACCUGAUUGAGAAAAUUGGCAUGGACAUACAAAAAACGGACCUCUUCUUAAUUGUACCAGAAGAGAAAUGGCUACGGUACUAUACUCAGCUACUUGCCCGGACCCACUAGACUGACCACCUAAUAUUUCAACCUGAAAAAACAUAUAUUUUGUGAUUUUUUUAAAUGGCCAAAUGUUCGGUCGAUUGAUAUUACUUUUGUGAUCUUCAGAACAAUGUUACUGUGAAGGUAAUUAUCCUACGCACAAUUUCAGUUCCAGAUAUACGAUUCAUAUUAUAUAAAAAUAAACUGGUAAGUUAUCCAGUUAUUCAA